CGAUGCAAACGCGAUUUCAUUUGUUGCCUUAUUCUGUUAUCUUCUCAGUCGUACUACAUUUGCACUGCUAACCAAUCUGUACUACAUCUUAGAUGUACAAGUACCAGUGAGUACUAAAUUCCAGUACUCCAACCUUUUGAUUAUAUUGCAUCAACACCUAUAAAUACAUCAUCUCUCUAUUACCAUUGCAGCAGAAAUCAGCUCAGCAACUUUACCACUUCAACUUCAAGAAUUGGAGACGAUCCAAUGCAGUAUUAUGGUUUGAGUUCAUCGUUCCCGUCGAUCGAAUGAACCUGCCUGAAUUUAUGGCAUCCACAAUCGGCACCAAAUUGAUCACCGGAGUGCUACUUUCAUCACCUUCAGCUUCCAAGUCCAACAAGUCCCUUGUCCUUGAACUCAUGUUACCACUUCCAUCUCAUAUAUUUUGUUAAGCACAUGCAAGCUAUGCACAAACAAAACCGGGGCCGCCAUUUUUUAUAUCUUGGCACCAAAGUCACCACCCGACUGUUACUGUAUUCAACUCAUCCUCCAACAAGUCCGUUAUCUCUAUGCGCAACCUCUUAAUCUUCGAUACAAUCAACAGAGAAAUCAUGUAAAAAUAAAAUAGCUUGCGUAUAGAGAUAAAGGACUUGCUGUGGGAUGAGUUGAAGAUGAUAGCUGGUGGUAGCUUUGGUGCCAAGGAAUACAAGAUGGUCACCUUAAUUUUUUUUUUUCUUGGUAUGCAGUAGUAAAUUUAGUGAUAGAAAUCAAUGUACUGAUGUGAGAAUAUGGUAGUGUUUGAUUGAGGAUGAAACUUGAGAAAUGAAAUAAACAUGCAAAUAUUUGAUUCUAUCUACUCA
Long non-coding RNA from Malus domestica (apple), 839 nucleotides. RefSeq lists it as uncharacterized. NCBI's taxonomy places the organism in Eukaryota, Viridiplantae, Streptophyta, Magnoliopsida, Rosales, Rosaceae. The record is from RefSeq and is a predicted model, not a curated record.